RNAcentral lists this ribosomal RNA (1408 nucleotides) under Escherichia coli. Its description in RNAcentral is "partial 23S ribosomal RNA". It matches the Rfam family "Bacterial large subunit ribosomal RNA", at positions 1555 to 2925 of the family's 2925-position model. The record is from RNAcentral. RNAcentral also lists the same sequence under 1 other name. Lineage: Bacteria; Pseudomonadati; Pseudomonadota; Gammaproteobacteria; Enterobacterales; Enterobacteriaceae.
GCUGAGGCGUGAUGACGAGGCACUACGGUGCUGAAGCGACAAAUGCCCUGCUUCCAGGAAAAGCCUCUAAGCAUCAGGUAACAUCAAAUCGUACCCCAAACCGACACAGGUGGUCAGGUAGAGAAUACCAAGGCGCUUGAGAGAACUCGGGUGAAGGAACUAGGCAAAAUGGUGCCGUAACUUCGGGAGAAGGCACGCUGAUAUGUAGGUGAAGCGACUUGCUCGUGGAGCUGAAAUCAGUCGAAGAUACCAGCUGGCUGCAACUGUUUAUUAAAAACACAGCACUGUGCAAACACGAAAGUGGACGUAUACGGUGUGACGCCUGCCCGGUGCCGGAAGGUUAAUUGAUGGGGUUAGCGGUAACGCGAAGCUCUUGAUCGAAGCCCCGGUAAACGGCGGCCGUAACUAUAACGGUCCUAAGGUAGCGAAAUUCCUUGUCGGGUAAGUUCCGACCUGCACGAAUGGCGUAAUGAUGGCCAGGCUGUCUCCACCCGAGACUCAGUGAAAUUGAACUCGCUGUGAAGAUGCAGUGUACCCGCGGCAAGACGGAAAGACCCCGUGAACCUUUACUAUAGCUUGACACUGAACAUUGAGCCUUGAUGUGUAGGAUAGGUGGGAGGCUUUGAAGUGUGGACGCCAGUCUGCAUGGAGCCGACCUUGAAAUACCACCCUUUAAUGUUUGAUGUUCUAACGUGGGCCCCUUACCGGGGUUGCGGACAGUGUCUGGUGGGUAGUUUGACUGGGGCGGUCUCCUCCUAAAGAGUAACGGAGGAGCACGAAGGUUGGCUAAUCCUGGUCGGACAUCAGGAGGUUAGUGCAAUGGCAUAAGCCAGCUUGACUGCGAGCGUGACGGCGCGAGCAGGUGCGAAAGCAGGUCAUAGUGAUCCGGUGGUUCUGAAUGGAAGGGCCAUCGCUCAACGGAUAAAAGGUACUCCGGGGAUAACAGGCUGAUACCGCCCAAGAGUUCAUAUCGACGGCGGUGUUUGGCACCUCGAUGUCGGCUCAUCACAUCCUGGGGCUGAAGUAGGUCCCAAGGGUAUGGCUGUUCGCCAUUUAAAGUGGUACGCGAGCUGGGUUUAGAACGUCGUGAGACAGUUCGGUCCCUAUCUGCCGUGGGCGCUGGAGAACUGAGGGGGGCUGCUCCUAGUACGAGAGGACCGGAGUGGACGCAUCACUGGUGUUCGGGUUGUCAUGCCAAUGGCACUGCCCGGUAGCUAAAUGCGGAAGAGAUAAGUGCUGAAAGCAUCUAAGCACGAAACUUGCCCCGAGAUGAGUUCUCCCUGACUCCUUGAGAGUCCUGAAGGAACGUUGAAGACGACGACGUUGAUAGGCCGGGUGUGUAAGCGCAGCGAUGCGUUGAGCUAACCGGUACUAAUGAACCGUGAGGCUUAACCUUACAACGCCGAAG